GCGCAGCAGGCGAGAAUUUUUCUCAAUGGGCGAAAGCCUGAAGGAGCGACGCCGCGUGGAGGAUGAAGGCCUUCGGGUUGUAAACUCCUGUCAUUUGAGAACAAGUGUCAGCAAGUAACUACUGCCGACUUGAUAGUAUCAGAAGAGGAAGGGACGGCUAACUCUGUGCCAGCAGCCGCGGUAAUACAGAGGUCCCAAGCGUUGUUCGGAUUCAUUGGGCGUAAAGGGUGCGUAGGUGGCGCCAUAAGUCAGGUGUGAAAUUUCGGAGCUUAACUCCGAAACUGCAUUUGAUACUGUGGUGCUUGAGGACUGGAGAGGAGACUGGAAUUUACGGUGUAGCAGUGAAAUGCGUAGAGAUCGUAAGGAGACCAGUGGCGAAGGCGGGUCUCUGGACAGUUCCUGACACUGAGGCACGAAGGCCAGGGGAGCGAAACGGGAUUAGAUACCCCUGUAGU
Molecule: ribosomal RNA, 455 nt
Filed under: uncultured organism
Description: bacterial SSU rRNA
Rfam family: Bacterial small subunit ribosomal RNA
Source: RNAcentral